RNAcentral lists this ribosomal RNA (266 nucleotides) under uncultured bacterium. RNAcentral's name for it is "partial 16S ribosomal RNA". It matches the Rfam family "Bacterial small subunit ribosomal RNA", at positions 793 to 1055 of the family's 1533-position model. The record is from RNAcentral.
GUCCACGCCCUAAACGAUGUCAACUAGUUGUUGGGUGACUUGUUCACUUAGUAACGUAGCUAACGCGAGAAGUUGACCGCCUGGGGAGUACGGUCGCAAGAUUAAAAACUCAAAGGAAUUGACGGGGGCCCGCACAAGCGGUGGAUUAUGUGGAUUAAUUCGAUGCAACGCGAAAAACCUUACCUACCCUUGACAUGCCAGGAAGUUGACAGAGAUGUUGACGUGCCCGAAAGGGAAUCUGGACACAGGUGCUGCAUGGCUGUCGU